Molecule: non-coding RNA, 180 nt
Filed under: Arabidopsis thaliana (thale cress)
Lineage: Eukaryota; Viridiplantae; Streptophyta; Magnoliopsida; Brassicales; Brassicaceae
Source: RNAcentral
AUCAUGUUCGCAGUUUCACCCGUUGACUGUCGCACCCUUCUAUAAACCCUAAAUUUUCUCUCUAUCUUUUUUAGUUUGAUUUUCAAGACACUUUGUUUCUCAAUCUUCAGUCUGAUUUUGUGAGCUUACUUCUCUUUCUGAGGCUAUAUAUAUUUCUUUUUCAUAAGAAUUUUCACUAUA